Long non-coding RNA from Gasterosteus aculeatus aculeatus (three-spined stickleback), 1255 nucleotides. Lineage: Eukaryota; Metazoa; Chordata; Actinopteri; Perciformes; Gasterosteidae. The record is from Ensembl.
UUCCUCUUUGAAUGCGGUUUACUUUUAAUGUAUGUAAAAAUGGCAUGACUUUAUGACACAACAUUUGAAAAUAAUAAGUAUUAAUUAACUUUGUGGAAAACAUUACAAUAAUAGUAAAAAAUAAGUGUAGAUUACUUUUGCAAUGGUGUCACCUGGCUGGUUGUGUGAAGGUAAGAAUGCAAAAUAGGUUAUGAUAAAAACCUAUAAUGAAAGAUAAUGCUGGGUAAAAUGUUCGCAUUCAAUUGUUAGUAAUCCUACAGGUUUUGAAUGAAACACUUAUAUCAGGGAAUUAUCUGCAUUCAUGCACUUACCCAGACGCACACACAAACACACUCACACACACAAGUAUAUAAAUUCACCAAUGUAAUCGGAGUCUGAUUAGCAGUUGACGUGCAGAAGCCACUGAGAUCUCUUCUUCUUCCUCUUCAUUCUGCUUCACCCUCCAGUCUGUUCACAUUUAAUAUUUCAUGAGCAGAGAGCUGCUAUAUUAGGACACGGGUUUUAUCCAUUCACCCACAUAAUGCAUUAAGCAUUAGAUGAGACCUGUUCAUAUUUACCAAUUAGGUAUCAAUAUCAUCAAUCCCAAUACAAAAUCCGGCUUUGGAUAUCAGACAAAAGAUGUUUGUGAGUUGUUAUUCUUACAAAAACACCUCACGGUCAUCGAGCGGUGAUGACCUAAUUCCCUAUUUUCAGUAACUCACACUAAUCGGUCCUAUACAUCCAGUUUAUAAUGGACCACUCAUUACAUUUUUAUGAAUUCAUGAAUCAUUAUUUUUCUCUCAUCUGUCAGAGGCUCUGGAACUGAAUGCUGCAUUGCUGCACAUUGAUCCUGGCUGGGAAAGUGGUAUUUUGGUAUGGUAUUUUUUUUAUUGGAGUCAUUUUACUAACUGUGCUGGUGCUGCCCUCUGCUGUAAGAAAAGAAAUCAUUGGGCAACUUGGGUUCCAUCUCAAGGCUUAUUUUCAUCCGUAAAAUAAUAGAAAACCUUUUCUUAAAUACUCUUUGAAUGGGCAGUUUUGUUUAUGAACACUGGACAUACAAGUGGAUGCAUCAUUAAGAUCCUACUCAUUUGUUACCAAAUCGAUCACUUAAUGUCACAAUUGGUGCCUCUCAAGUCACACAGAUUCAUUUCUGUUGAUAUUGUAGUUAUGAGAAGCGAUAAACACAUAAUUUUUCAUACUCUGUGACUACUGUGUAGCAUCCCUUCAACUUGGAAUAAACAGGCUUGGGAGUGUUUCCACUCACUCUCUGGGAACC